Molecule: small RNA, 118 nt
Filed under: Marmota monax (woodchuck)
Lineage: Eukaryota; Metazoa; Chordata; Mammalia; Rodentia; Sciuridae
Source: RNAcentral
ACCGGGUGUGGUGGUGCACACCUGUAAUCCUAGCAGCUCUGGAGGCUGAGGCAGGAGAAUUGCAAGUUCAAAGCCAGCCCCAGCAAAAGCUAAGCAUUUCAGUGAGAUCCUGUCUCUA